UACGUAGGGGGCAAGCGUUGUCCGGAUUUAUUGGGCGUAAAGAGCGUGUAGGCGGCCAGAUAGGUCAGCUGUGAAAACUCGAGGCUCAACCUCGAGACGUCGGUUGAAACCAUCUGGCUAGAGUCCGGAAGAGGAGAGUGGAAUUCCCGGUGUAGCGGUGAAAUGCGCAGAUAUCGGGAAGAACACCGGUGGCGAAGGCGGCGCUCUGGGACGGUACUGACGCUGAGACGCGAAAGCGUGGGGAGCGAACAGG
This 253-nucleotide ribosomal RNA is filed under the name uncultured bacterium. RNAcentral describes it as "partial 16S ribosomal RNA". It matches the Rfam family "Bacterial small subunit ribosomal RNA", at positions 524 to 776 of the family's 1533-position model. The record is from RNAcentral.